GAACAAUGUCCAUAGAGGUUACAACUGC
RNAcentral lists this non-coding RNA (28 nucleotides) under Homo sapiens (human). The record is from RNAcentral. Lineage: Eukaryota; Metazoa; Chordata; Mammalia; Primates; Hominidae.